GCAUAAUAUCGAGGACUAUGUAACUGCCCGAUCCAAGCAAUAGAAGACAACAUUCUACAUUAACAGUAAGCGUCGACUGAAGCUGACGUACUGGUUUCAGCACCUCCGCGAUGGCGCCGACUUCACUGAUGGUUACCUUCGCAUUAACCUUGUGCUCCGUUAAUGGUGUAUACUCUACGUGUUCAAGUGUCGAAAGCGUACUUUGUCAGUCUGUGUGCAGAUGUACGAUUUUAAGAUGUCAGUGUUUUCACGGCUGGAAUCCUCAAACCAUUCGUAGUUUAAACAAGAAAAUCCGUUUGCUGCGCCUGACAAACUAUACCAUCGGUAACAUUGAGUCCAAUGCGUUCAGUGGGAUGUCUUCUCUCCAAAGAAU
Molecule: long non-coding RNA, 373 nt
Organism: Acanthaster planci (crown-of-thorns starfish)
Lineage: Eukaryota; Metazoa; Echinodermata; Asteroidea; Valvatida; Acanthasteridae
Source: RefSeq, a predicted model, not a curated record